Molecule: ribosomal RNA, 478 nt
Filed under: uncultured bacterium
Lineage: Bacteria
Description: partial 16S ribosomal RNA
Rfam family: Bacterial small subunit ribosomal RNA
Source: RNAcentral
GAUGAACGCUGGCGGCGUGCUUAACACAUGCAAGUCGAACGAGAAGUGAAGACGGAAACCUUCGGGCGGAAGGCUUUAUUUCGAGUGGCGGACGGGUGAGUAACGCGUGGGUAACCUGCCUCAUACAGGGGGAUAACAGUUGGAAACGACUGUUAAUACCGCAUAAGACCACAGCACCGCAUGGUGCGGGGGUAAAAACUCCGGUGGUAUGAGAUGGACCCGCGUUCGAUUAGCCAGUUGGCGGGGUAACGGCCCACCAAAGCGACGAUCGAUAGCCGAUCUGAGAGGAUGACCGGCCACAUUGGGACUGAGGCACGGCCCAGACUCCUACGGGAGGCAGCAGUGGGGAAUAUUGCACAAUGGGGGAAACCCUGAUGCAGCGACGCCGCGUGAGUGAAGAAGUCUUUCGGUAUGUAAAGCUCUAUCAGCAGGGAAGAAAAUGACGGUACCUGAGUAAGAAGCCCCGGCUAACUACGUG